UGGAACAUGGCGCAAUGCCCACAGAA
This 26-nucleotide non-coding RNA is filed under the name Mus musculus (house mouse). The record is from RNAcentral. Lineage: Eukaryota; Metazoa; Chordata; Mammalia; Rodentia; Muridae.